Molecule: long non-coding RNA, 661 nt
Filed under: Musa acuminata (dwarf banana)
Lineage: Eukaryota; Viridiplantae; Streptophyta; Magnoliopsida; Zingiberales; Musaceae
Description: long non-coding RNA (MACU_LNC009167)
Source: RNAcentral
UCUUACUCUUAGAUCCCUUCCUUUAAGUCUGGUCCACAGCAGGUCGAUUCGUCAGUCUUCAACAGCUUUCUUUAGUUCUUGCUCCCCGCACCACCAACUAGGGAGUCUUCCCCUAAAACGGACAUUCCUUAGUUGAGUUCUUGCUUCUGAGUUUUCGUCUUCUACUCGCUUAUUAGACUAUUGUUACUACUGUUUGCAAACUGGCAUUUCUGCCUUAAAGCCCUUGCUUGUUAGUGAAAUAAUCUCCAAUUACUACUUUUAGGGCUGAACCAAGAGGGCACCAAACUCAACUCAAAACGGGCAAUCGAACACUGCCCCAACAAGACCGGACAAGUGCAAUAGACAGAAUGGAACUCUGUAAGUAGGAAUACAAUCAUCGGUAACAAGACCGAAACGUUGCUGAGAAGACUGUGAGCCCGGGCACCGAAGCCUGCCUUUAUUUGCUUGAAACCUAAAACGACUUAUUUGCAUUCUGGAAAUGGUGAUUCGGAUCCUUAUUUGUGCGGGUUACUCCUAUAGUUGCUAGUCGCAUUCCUUCCAGUGAGUUAGAACCUGUCUUUCCUCACCUUAAGUCCCCAUUGCCUGUCUAUGAGCCUGCCCACCCUUGCUUUGAACCUGUAGUUAAUGCUUCUCGUACUUAACUACAUAGCUUAGGGUAGUU